UUUUUCAUAUAAUUCAAAUAUAGUCCACAGAAAAAGACGCAAGAAAAUUGAGUAAAAUGACAUGUAAUGUUACUUAUGAGUUAUUACCAUACCGCUUUUUAUUCAGUUUCAUUCAGUUUAACAUUAACAUAUUUUUACUUAAAUGUGUAAACAAAAUCUCAAUUCAUUUUAAAGACUGACUUUGCAUCUUUAAUACUUACACCAGUUUCUGUUAAAUGAAGUUGUGAUAAAUAUUUCUAUUUCCUUUGAAUGUAGAUCAAAUGAACCUGUCUCAGGCAGAAGAACAGGACAGUAGCUUUUCUCGAUCUUUUAGAACAAGAAAAUAUUGAAUUGCCCGAAAAUAUAUUAAUAUUUGGAAUAAGUGGGGCUGAAAAAAGUUCUCUUGUAAAUACAAUACACAAAGUGUUAACAGGGAAAUAUUCUGAAAUAGAUGAAAAAGGAUGCGGUGAAACGAAAACUUUAACAAAGGAGUUAAGAAGGUACGAAAACUGUGGAGUUAAGGAAAACAGGAUACAUGACUGUGUAUUAAGGUCCACUUUAAAAAAUCAUAGUUAUUGGACCGUGAAAUCUGCAAUGUUUACUUCUAUUUUAAUGAUAUAACACCUUUCUGAAAGUAUCCAACACAUAUCCAUUUACAGACCCGUGCAGACUAUAUUUGCUAAUCACAAAAUGUGAUCUAAUAAAUGGCAAAGACCAAACACAGAGAAAGAAAACAUAUCGGAACGAAAAUGACGGCAAUGAUUAUGACAUUGAAACUGUAGAGAAAAACUUGUACAAACACUCAUCAUGGAAGGAACUUUCGAUAAUCGAAAACAGCGCUUGGUAAAUUUGACAGAUUACAAUAGACAUGAAGAUGUCCAGGUGGAUAGGGAUACAUUGAAAUUUUUACAAAACCUUGUUAAGCCUAUAACAGGAGGAGAUAAAUGGGACAAUUUUCUCGGAUUUCAAACUAGACUUCAUCUCAAAUUGCUAUAUUUCAAGCAAAAAUUUCGCAGUCUUUUUACUCAAGAUAUAAGUGUAAAUUUUCAUCAAGUAGUUAUAUUUCUGAUGAAACUGCACUUGUGGUAGCAGUUUUGUUUCAUUUAAUAGCCAAAGAUCCGGCAAAUAAUGCCAAAACGUAACAAUUGACACUGUUUUGUAUUAUUUUCUAAAAUUUACAUAUAUGUUUCAUAAUUUCUUGAUUUCUCUCGUAUUUUUUACUGUUUUUGUACACUUUAAGUUAUUUACUAGCAAUUAAAUUUGUUAAAUUACACAUCAAAACAAAUUUUGGUUGAGAAAGGACAAUAUUUCGCUUAGAUGCAAUGUUUCUUUUUAACCUUUAUUGCAAAGUAAAUACAUACAAUGUUCAUGACAAUUUCAAUAUGCGUUGUAUAUUACUAUUGUUAUACCGCUAAUUCACAUGUGUAUGCCAUAUUGGAGAGGUAUGGGUGAAUGAUGUGAUAUCUGAUAAAUGAAAAUCCAAGAUUUGAAUUUGCGAAAACAAAAACUCUUUAUCAUGUAAAAGUCAUGACGGAAUAUGUAUUUAUAUUGCAAUACAUCAGUUUAAAGUAAUUGCAAUAUCUAAAUAAGCAAACAUAAAAUAAUUAUGGUGAGUUUAACAAUAAUAGCUUUGCAUUUAAGAGGAUACCCAGAUAUUUAUCGAUGUUAAAAAUCCUGUAUAAAACAGUUUUAGUCAAAUAUUACAAAAUAACUAUAUCUAAUAUAAAUUCUGUUACAUUGUA
Molecule: long non-coding RNA, 1721 nt
Organism: Ruditapes philippinarum (Manila clam)
Lineage: Eukaryota; Metazoa; Mollusca; Bivalvia; Venerida; Veneridae
Exons: 2
Source: RefSeq, a predicted model, not a curated record